GCCGGGAGAUGGUGAAAUCCCCUGGAGUGUCAAAAGAAGCAGUUCUUCCCGGUGGAAGCACAUCACACCCAUUUUGAAAGAGCUGCACUGGCUACCAGUUUGUUUCCGGGUCCAAUUCAAGAUACGUGAAGCUGCAAUUGUUGAAGCCGUGGACAAAGAGGGCCUCCUCCAGUAUACAUUACCAGAAAAAGCCAUGAGGUUAAACAUGCCCAGCCCUUUCCUCGUGAGACCUGGUUUCCAGACCCCUCACCAUCUUGGCUGCCCUCUUCGGAACCCAUCCCAGUUCAUCAGCAUCCUUCUUAAAAUGCAAGGCCCAGAACUGGACAUGGCAUCCCAAGUGAGGUCUGACCAGCGCAGAGUAGAGUGGAUUGAUUCCAUCUUGUGAGCUGGACACUCUGCUUCUGGGAAUGCAACUGAAGGCUGCAUUCGCCUUUUUUGCAGCUGCAUCGUGCUGCUGGGCUUUCUGUGGAAUACAAACCGGCCUUUGGAUAUGUUUGAAUGCAGAAGAAACACCACAAUUGCCUUCGUAGCUAUACAAAGCGACGAGUUGUACAUCAACAUGGGCAUUAUCUAUCCGAAACCCUUUCUGGUGUGUGCGUGUGUGAGAUUUAAGACAACUCAU
Hemicordylus capensis (graceful crag lizard) is the source of this 622-nucleotide long non-coding RNA. RefSeq lists it as uncharacterized. Lineage: Eukaryota; Metazoa; Chordata; Lepidosauria; Squamata; Cordylidae. The transcript is spliced from 3 exons. The record is from RefSeq and is a predicted model, not a curated record.